RNAcentral lists this ribosomal RNA (460 nucleotides) under uncultured bacterium. RNAcentral describes it as "partial 16S ribosomal RNA". It matches the Rfam family "Bacterial small subunit ribosomal RNA", at positions 338 to 795 of the family's 1533-position model. The record is from RNAcentral.
CCUACGGGUGGCAGCAGUGAGGAAUAUUGGUCAAUGGGCUUACGCCUGAACCAGCCAAGUCGCGUGAGGGAAGACUGCCCUAUGGGUUGUAAACCUCUUUUGUCAGGGAGCAACGCCGGCUACGUGUAGCCGGUCUGAGAGUACCUGAAGAAAAAGCAUCGGCUAACUCCGUGCCAGCAGCCGCGGUAAUACGGAGGAUGCGAGCGUUAUCCGGUGUUAUUGGGUUUAAAGGGUGCGUAGGCGGAAUGCCAAGUCAGCGGUAAAGUCGCGGGGCUCAACCUAGAUCGGCCGUUGAAACUGGCGUUCUUGAGUGGGCGAGAAGUAUGCGGAAUGCGUGGUGUAGCGGUGAAAUGCAUAGAUAUCACGCAGAACUCCGAUUGCGAAGGCAGCAUACCGGCGCCCAACUGACGCUGAAGCACGAAAGCGUGGGUAUCGAACAGGAUUAGAUACCCUUGUAGUC